Molecule: RNase P RNA, 193 nt
Filed under: Kiritimatiellia bacterium
Lineage: Bacteria; Pseudomonadati; Kiritimatiellota; Kiritimatiellia
Description: Kiritimatiellae bacterium (marine metagenome) partial RNase P RNA component class A
Rfam family: Bacterial RNase P class A
About the family: Ribonuclease P (RNase P) is a ubiquitous endoribonuclease, found in archaea, bacteria and eukarya as well as chloroplasts and mitochondria. Its best characterised activity is the generation of mature 5'-ends of tRNAs by cleaving the 5'-leader elements of precursor-tRNAs. Cellular RNase Ps are ribonucleoproteins.
Source: RNAcentral
GGAUGGGAGCGGCUGGUCGCCCCGUAUCAGGGGAGGAAAGUCCGGACUCCGCAGGGCAGGAUGCCCCAGCAAGGCGGAAGGCCAAGCUGGGGGGCCCAUCGCCAUACCGAUGGGUACGGAAAGUGCCACAGAAAACAGACCGCUCCGGAGAUUAUCCGGAGUAAGGGUGAAAAGGUGGUGUAAGAGACCACCG